This 594-nucleotide ribosomal RNA is filed under the name uncultured bacterium. RNAcentral's name for it is "bacterial SSU rRNA". It matches the Rfam family "Bacterial small subunit ribosomal RNA", at positions 9 to 590 of the family's 1533-position model. The record is from RNAcentral.
GAGUUUGAUCCUGGCUCAGAACGAACGCUGGCGGCGUGCUUAACACAUGCAAGUCAGGGAGAAAGUCUCUUCGGGGAUGAUUAAACCGGCGCACGGGUGAGUAACACGUGAGUGACCUGCCUUUUAGACUGGAACAACUUACCGAAAGGUGAGCUAAUGCCGGAUGAGUUAUAUAAGUGCAUGUUUAUAUAGGAAAAGUUGGGGAGACCUGACGCUGAAAGAUGGACUCGCGUCCCAUUAGCUAGUUGGUAGGGUAAUGGCCUACCAAGGCGACGAUGGGUAGCCGGCCUGAGAGGGUGGCCGGCCACACUGGGACUGAGACACGGCCCAGACUCCUACGGGAGGCAGCAGUGGGGAAUUUUGCGCAAUGCUCGUAAGAGUGACGCAGCGACGCCGCGUGAAUGACGAAGGCCUUCGGGUCGUAAAGUUCUUUCGACAGGGAAGAAAAUGCCUAUAAGUAACUGUGCAUGUAUUGACGGUACCUGUAUAAGCAGCCCCGGCUAACUCCGUGCCAGCAGCCGCGGUAAUACGGAGGGGGCGAGCGUUGUUCGGAGUGACUGGGCGUAAAGAGCACGUAGGCGGUGUUGUAAGUCA